UGGCGGACGGGUGAGUAAUGUCUGGGAAACUGCCUGAUGGAGGGGGAUAACUACUGGAAACGGUAGCUAAUACCGCAUAACGUCGCAAGACCAAAGAGGGGGACCUUCGGGCCUCUUGCCAUCAGAUGUGCCCAGAUGGGAUUAGCUAGUAGGUGGGGUAACGGCUCACCUAGGCGACGAUCCCUAGCUGGUCUGAGAGGAUGACCAGCCACACUGGAACUGAGACACGGUCCAAACUCCUACGGGAGGCAGCAUG
Molecule: ribosomal RNA, 256 nt
Filed under: uncultured bacterium
Lineage: Bacteria
Description: partial 16S ribosomal RNA
Rfam family: Bacterial small subunit ribosomal RNA
Source: RNAcentral